AGUGAACGCUGGCGGUAGGCCUAACACAUGCAAGUCGAACGGUAGCACAGUUAGAGCUUGCUCUUACGGGCGGCGAGUGGCGGACGGGCGCGGAAUCCAUCGGAACCUACUUUUUCGUGGGGGCUAACGUAGGGAAACUUACGCUCAUACCGCAUACGACGUACGGUUGAAAGCAGGGGAACUUCGGACCUUGCGCGAUUGAAUGAGCCGAUGUCGGAUUAGCUAGUUGGCGGGGUAAAGGCCCACCAAGGCGACGAUCCGUAGCUUGUCUGAGAGGAUGAGAAGCCACACUACAACUGAGACACGGUCCAGGCUCCUACGGGAGGCAGCAGUGGGGAAUAUUGGACAAUGGGCGCAAGCCUGGUCCAGCCAUACCGCGUGGGUGAAGAAGGCCUUCGGGUUGUAAAGCCCUUUUGUUGGGAAGGAAAAGCAGCAGGUUAAUACCCCGCUGUUCUGACGGUACCCAAAGAAUAAGCACCGGCUAACUUCGUG
RNAcentral lists this ribosomal RNA (492 nucleotides) under uncultured bacterium. RNAcentral describes it as "partial 16S ribosomal RNA". It matches the Rfam family "Bacterial small subunit ribosomal RNA", at positions 29 to 507 of the family's 1533-position model. The record is from RNAcentral.